RNAcentral lists this long non-coding RNA (1301 nucleotides) under Salarias fasciatus (jewelled blenny). RNAcentral's name for it is "lncRNA (ENSSFAG00005021123.1)". The record is from RNAcentral. Lineage: Eukaryota; Metazoa; Chordata; Actinopteri; Blenniiformes; Blenniidae.
GCAGCAUAUCAGACAGGGACUUCGACUGCUCCUCAGAUCUUCAUCCCGUGACACAGAUGAAAAAACUGUCAUAGCUAUACCUCUUUUCAUAGCCUUCAACUACAUAGAUUUAUGUAUUUUGAUAAUAUUUGCCGCAUCUUGUUUUUUUUCAUGUCACUAAGUAAUACCUUCGCCUUAUCUGCAUAGCUUAACACUUAAAAUUCCAUCUUUUGUGAUGACUAUCUUGCCUUUAAUGUGUUACUGUUGUGAGUGAUCAAUGAUGAAUAAUGAAAACAGUUUUAUAAGUUAUUAGACUUAUUCACAGAGUUUAAUGUUUUUUGUUUUUUGUUUUUUUUUUAAGAAAAUGUAUUAUCUAAAUAAUACUGGAGAUGUAAGUUGGAGCAGGUCUGAUCCUACGAUAAACACUUCUUAGAUUUUUACAUCAGAUCUGUAUUUAAGUGUUUCAGAGUUUUGAUUAAUGUGCAGAAAUACACUGACGUUCGCACCUGUUGCUCCUGUCAAACAGUGAUGUUCCGACGAAUAAAGCUUUUAUCAAGUUCAGUCGACCUCGUGCCUAUUUGUUAUUCUCGCUUCCAUCCAUGCGUGAGGAAUUUUUUUUAUUUUUUUAUUUUUUUCCUGCUGAAAUCGGAUCCUGCUGAAUGCAUCCAACAGGUAAAACGGGCUCCGCGCGCCCGUGCGCUCUGCGCGCCACCGCGGCGCACCUGAGCUCCACGUGUGAACCCGCGCGGAGGAGUCACUCACUCCUCGGCUGGAGCGGAGGCGCGAGGAGGAUCUGUCUCUGAUCUGCGUGCAUGAGGGGGACCGUGCGUGCACCGCCCGAUCUGGAACCUCCGCGUCUGCAGGCAUCAGAUGAUGCCUUGGAUUUAGCCUGCCCACAUGAGUGAUAUGAAUAAGACGCUGGACGAAAUACACACUUCUGGACGCCUCGGAGAGAAAGCAGAGAUUUUCCAGAGUGGCCGGGGUAAUGUGAGUGGCUGCUCCAGCCCAGCCCUCAUCCCGCUGCAGGAUCCUUUACUGACACCAAAUGCAAAGACGAGCCAGACCAAGCUCUGCAGAGGGACCAGGAGCAACAGAGAGGGGCAGGAAGCGUUCUCCUCCCUCGUUCCGAACCCCUUCCCCGAGCUCCUGCACUCGACCCUCUCCCCCUUCGUCUCCGAGUGUUUAUUACCGUGGACCAAAAGUAGUGCAACUCAGGUGAGUGUCCCAUUUGCAGUGCAAACACAAAAUAAAAGUCUGUGCUGUAACCUUUUCCAUAUGCUACCCCGGGCUGCAGCGUCACCGGAGCAAACGGCAGAAAACAG